GUAACCUUCGUCACCGUCGGUUCCCGCAACCAAGCUUUUUUUUUUUCUGAAGGGCUUGCGGUUCAUUAUACCAAAUUCAGUGAACU
RNAcentral lists this transfer RNA (86 nucleotides) under Gossypium harknessii. RNAcentral's name for it is "tRNA-Met". Lineage: Eukaryota; Viridiplantae; Streptophyta; Magnoliopsida; Malvales; Malvaceae. The record is from RNAcentral.